UCGCCUGUUUAUCAAAAACAUGUCCUCAUGAAAAUAAUUUGAGGUCUGACCUGCCCACUGAAUUAUAGUAAUUUGAAGGGCCGCGGUAUUUUGACCGUGCAAAGGUAGCAUAAUCAUUAGUCUUUUAAUUGGAGGCUGGAAUGAAUGGUUGGACGAGGCAUUGACUGUCUCAGUGUAAAUGUUAUUAGAAUUUAACUUUUAGGUCAAAAGGCUUAAAUGUAUUUAAAGGACGAGAAGACCCUAUAGAGCUUUAUGUUGAACAAUUAUUUUUAAUUUAGAUGGUUUUUAGUAAUAGUUGGUUAAACAUUUUGUUGGGGUGACAGGAAGAUAAAGUAAACUCUUUUUAAUUUUUAACAUUAAUUUAUGAUUAGUUGAUCCAUUAUUAGUGAUUAUAAGACUAAGUUACCUUAGGGAUAACAGCGUAAUCUUUUUUGAGAGUUCAUAUCGACAAAAGGGGUUGCGACCUCGAUGUUGGAUUAAGGGUAAUUUUGGGUGUAGAUGUUCAAAGUUUAGGUCUGUUCGACCUUUAGAUCCUUACAUGAUCUGAGUUCAAACCGGAGA
This 561-nucleotide ribosomal RNA is filed under the name Isoperla phalerata. RNAcentral describes it as "partial 16S ribosomal RNA". It matches the Rfam family "Bacterial large subunit ribosomal RNA", at positions 1796 to 2622 of the family's 2925-position model. The record is from RNAcentral. Lineage: Eukaryota; Metazoa; Arthropoda; Insecta; Plecoptera; Perlodidae.